RNAcentral lists this ribosomal RNA (208 nucleotides) under uncultured Actinomycetales bacterium. Its description in RNAcentral is "partial 16S ribosomal RNA". It matches the Rfam family "Bacterial small subunit ribosomal RNA", at positions 124 to 334 of the family's 1533-position model. The record is from RNAcentral. Lineage: Bacteria; Bacillati; Actinomycetota; Actinomycetes; Actinomycetales.
AUCUGCCCUGCACUUCGGGAUAAGCCUGGGAAACUGGGUCGUAAUACCGGAUAGGAGCCAUUUUUAGUGUGAUGGUUGGAAGGUUUUUUCGGUGUAGGAUGAGCUCGCGGCCUAUCAGCUUGUUGGUGGGGUAAUGGCCUACCAAGGCGGCGACGGGUAGCCGGCCUGAGAGGGCGGACGGCCACAUUGGGACUGAGAUACGGCCCAG